This 410-nucleotide ribosomal RNA is filed under the name Mitsuaria sp. Vi30. Its description in RNAcentral is "bacterial SSU rRNA". It matches the Rfam family "Bacterial small subunit ribosomal RNA", at positions 978 to 1391 of the family's 1533-position model. The record is from RNAcentral. Lineage: Bacteria; Pseudomonadati; Pseudomonadota; Betaproteobacteria; Burkholderiales; Sphaerotilaceae.
CCCUUGACUGCCAGGAAUCCUGCAGAGAUGUGGGUAGUGCUCGAAAGAGAACCUGGACACAGGUGCUGCAUGGCCGUCGUCAGCUCGUGUCGUGAGAUGUUGGGUUAAGUCCCGCAACGAGCGCAACCCUUGUCAUUAGUUGCUACGAAAGGGCACUCUAAUGAGACUGCCGGUGACAAACCGGAGGAAGGUGGGGAUGACGUCAGGUCAUCAUGGCCCUUAUGGGUAGGGCUACACACGUCAUACAAUGGCCGGGACAGAGGGCUGCCAACCCGCGAGGGGGAGCUAAUCCCAGAAACCCGGUCGUAGUCCGGAUCGCAGUCUGCAACUCGACUGCGUGAAGUCGGAAUCGCUAGUAAUCGCGGAUCAGCUUGCCGCGGUGAAUACGUUCCCGGGUCUUGGUACACACC